Molecule: ribosomal RNA, 445 nt
Filed under: uncultured bacterium
Lineage: Bacteria
Description: partial 16S ribosomal RNA
Rfam family: Bacterial small subunit ribosomal RNA
Source: RNAcentral
GUGAGGAAUAUUGGUCAAUGGGCGAAAGCCUGAACCAGCCAUGUCGCGUGAAGGAUGAAGGUCCUAUGGAUUGUAAACUUCUUUUGCAGGAGGGUAAAGUGAGCUACGUGUAGUUCAUUGCAAGUACCCUGCGAAUAAGCAUCGGCUAACUCCGUGCCAGCAGCCGCGGUAAUACGGAGGAUGCGAGCGUUAUCCGGAUUUAUUGGGUUUAAAGGGUGCGUAGGCGGACUAAUUAGUCAGCGGUGAAAUUUUGCGGCUCAACCGUAAAACUGCCGUUGAAACUGUUAGUCUUGAGUGCGGUAGAGGUAGGCGGAAUGUGUGGUGUAGCGGUGAAAUGCUUAGAUAUCACACAGAACACCGAGUGCGUAGGCAGCUUACUGGAGCGCAACUGACGCUGAGGCACGAAAGCGUGGGGAUCGAACAGGAUUAGAAACCCCUGUAGUCC